RNAcentral lists this non-coding RNA (97 nucleotides) under Caldanaerobacter subterraneus subsp. tengcongensis. RNAcentral describes it as "Thermoanaerobacter tengcongensis Glycine sequence". It matches the Rfam family "Glycine riboswitch aptamer". Rfam says of the family: This family represents the bacterial glycine riboswitch. Glycine riboswitches usually consist of two metabolite-binding aptamers domains with similar structures in tandem. Lineage: Bacteria; Bacillati; Bacillota; Clostridia; Thermoanaerobacterales; Thermoanaerobacteraceae. RNAcentral also lists the same sequence under 1 other name. The record is from RNAcentral.
AUGAAGAAUGCGGGAGAGACCCUAACCGGGCGCCGAAGGAGCAAGCGGGUAUAUGGCCUGUAUACUCGUGAAACUCUCAGGCAAAAGGACCGCAUUC